AUCCCAUCGAAUCUUUGGACACAUGCAUGGAACAUUAAAUGUAGAUAAAAAACUAAACUAAUUACACAGUUUAGUUGAGAAUCGCGACACGAAUUUUUUAAGCCUAGUUACUCUAUGAUUAGCCUUAAGUGAUACAGUAACCCAUAUAUACUAAUGACAGAUUAAUUAUGCUUAAUAAAUUUGUCUUGCAGUUUCCUGACGAGCUAUGUAAUUUGUUUUUUUAUUAGUUUCAAAAAAACC
This 240-nucleotide long non-coding RNA is filed under the name Sorghum bicolor (sorghum). RNAcentral describes it as "long non-coding RNA (SBIC_LNC005780)". Lineage: Eukaryota; Viridiplantae; Streptophyta; Magnoliopsida; Poales; Poaceae. The record is from RNAcentral.